This 497-nucleotide ribosomal RNA is filed under the name uncultured bacterium. RNAcentral describes it as "partial 16S ribosomal RNA". It matches the Rfam family "Bacterial small subunit ribosomal RNA", at positions 28 to 507 of the family's 1533-position model. The record is from RNAcentral.
GAUGAACGCUGGCGGCGUGCCUAAUACAUGCAAGUCGAGCGAACAGAUGAGGAGCUUGCUCCUCUGACGUUAGCGGCGGACGGGUGAGUAAAACGUGGAUAACCUACCUAUAAGACUGGGAUAACUUCGGGAAACCGGAGCUAAUACCGGAUAAUAUAUUGAACCGCAUGGUUCAAUAGUGAAAGACGGUUUUGCUGUCACUUAUAGAUGGAUCCGCGCCGCAUUAGCUAGUUGGUAAGGUAACGGCUUACCAAGGCAACGAUGCGUAGCCGACCUGAGAGGGUGAUCGGCCACACUGGAACUGAGACACGGUCCAGACUCCUACGGGAGGCAGCAGUAGGGAAUCUUCCGCAAUGGGCGAAAGCUUGACGGAGCAACGCCGCGUGAGUGAUGAAGGUCUUCGGAUCGUAAAACUCUGUUAUUAGGGAAGAACAAAUGUGUAAGUAACUAUGCACGUCUUGACGGUACCUAAUCAGAAAGCCACGGCUAACUACGUG